UACGUAGGCGGUCUGUUAAGUCAGAUGUGAAAGCCCCGGGCUUAACCUGGGAAUUGCAUUUGAUACUGGCAGACUAGAGUAUGGUAGAGGGGGGUAGAAUUCCUAGUGUAGCGGUGAAAUGCGUAGAUAUUAGGAGGAAUACCAGUGGCGAAGGCGGCCCCCUGGGCCAAUACUGACGCUGAGGUACGAAAGCGUGGGUAGCGAACA
RNAcentral lists this ribosomal RNA (207 nucleotides) under uncultured bacterium. RNAcentral describes it as "partial 16S ribosomal RNA". It matches the Rfam family "Bacterial small subunit ribosomal RNA", at positions 568 to 774 of the family's 1533-position model. The record is from RNAcentral.